UACGUAGGUGGCAAGCGUUGUCCGGAUUUACUGGGCGUAAAGAGCGCGCAGGCGGUCGGAUAAGUCGAAUGUGAAAGCCCCCGGCUUAACUGGGGAGGGUCAUUCGAUACUGUUCGACUGGAAGGCAGGAGAGGGAAGCGGAAUUCCCGGUGUAGUGGUGAAAUGCGUAGAUAUCGGGAGGAACACCAGUGGCGAAGGCGACACGCUGGGCCGUACCUGACACUGAACCGCGACAGCAUGGGGAGCAAACAGG
Molecule: ribosomal RNA, 253 nt
Filed under: uncultured bacterium
Lineage: Bacteria
Description: partial 16S ribosomal RNA
Rfam family: Bacterial small subunit ribosomal RNA
Source: RNAcentral